AUACGUAGGUGGCAAGCGUUGUCCGGAUUUACUGGGCGUAAAGAGUAUGUAGGCGGAUAUUUAAGUCAGAUGUGAAAUUCCCGGGCUUAACCUGGGAGCUGCAUUUGAUACUGGAUAUCUAGAGUGCGGGAGAGGAAAGUGGAAUUCCUAGUGUAGCGGUGAAAUGCGUAGAGAUUAGGAAGAACACCGGUGGCGAAGGCGGCUUGCUGGACAAAUACUGACGCUGAGGUGCGAAAGCGUGGGGAGC
Molecule: ribosomal RNA, 247 nt
Filed under: uncultured bacterium
Lineage: Bacteria
Description: partial 16S ribosomal RNA
Rfam family: Bacterial small subunit ribosomal RNA
Source: RNAcentral